UCGGUGUCUAGUGAGGCUUAACAUUUUGCAAUCAUAUGGAUGAAUUUGUUAACAUUUUCACACUUUGUUCUUUAAUAGAUGAACAUCGUAACUAAGGGUUUUUAGUUAGAAACAGUACUUAAAACACUAAAAACGGGAGACAGUGUUGGAUAAAUCCAUUAAAAAGGCAGUAGUAUAGCAUUAAAAUGCCAACACCAUGAAUUCUUUGUCGGUUUGAAAUUCCUUUGCUGUUCUGCCACUUUCUUUGUUUCUUUAUGCUCUGUUUUCUUCCUUGUAACUGGAAAGAUCAGAUGACCACGAGGGAUGAAUGUGCAGCGGUGCUGCCUCCCAGCAUGUGUAGCUGCAGCCUCUAAGCCCAGUGUUCCAGCAGCCAGGAUCCACGUGGCUGAUUGUUUUGCAGACAUAGUGGUGGCGUAUUUAUGUAUUUCUGAACUUGUUUUUCAGGCUCUGUGGCCGCCUGCGCAUCGUGGAGCCCAGAAAUAAAGCACUUGUCAGGCAGCAGCAGUGUGUCAGUGCAAAAUGGAAUUCGCAAGACUAAAGUUUACACGAGGCAACAACAAAAUCUACUGUGCCAUUCUGCGAGGCAACAAAGCUGAAAGAGAGAGACUGCAAGCAACCUCUUCCUGAGAGCUGCAGGGAGAGAGUGGGCUCGAGCUUCACUGACGAAUUAAUGCAGGAGAAAUAAGGAAUCAAGACUGUGACACACAGCCUGCAGAGGGCUGAGCUGGAGUUGUAUUGGGAAACACCUCGUUAGCAUCCAUCAGGAUGAAUGCCAUCCUGCCUCAAGAAAACGCUGAUGCAGGCUGGGUGAAGGCUGGCAGCUUGCUCCUCCUGCCUGCCAGCUGCACAGUUCAUGUGACUUCAGUGCAUCUGUCAGCCGUGCUGCCUGUCCCCCAGCAUCAGGCACAGCAAGGUGAAGGAACAGCUCCGUAAUGUUUAGCUGAAUAAAGCAUCACACGCACAACUUG
Molecule: non-coding RNA, 968 nt
Organism: Cyanistes caeruleus (blue tit)
Lineage: Eukaryota; Metazoa; Chordata; Aves; Passeriformes; Paridae
Source: RefSeq, a predicted model, not a curated record